Molecule: long non-coding RNA, 358 nt
Filed under: Hordeum vulgare
Lineage: Eukaryota; Viridiplantae; Streptophyta; Magnoliopsida; Poales; Poaceae
Description: long non-coding RNA (HVUL_LNC020727)
Source: RNAcentral
UUUGAUUAGUGGUUCCAGGACUCCCCUUGACAGUCCAGGGAAGAUGGGCCGUGACCCAGAAGAGAAGAGAAGAGCCCAUCCAUGUGGUGUGAACUAGUCCAGAUUGAUGCCCACCGGCGGCGCCGAUCUCUACAUCCAUCUGAUGCGCCGUGCCGUGCCGUGACGUGACGAGACGAGAGAGGAAAUAAAUAAAGAAAUAUCCAUGAUCCAUCUCUAACCGACGCCUCCAUCCUCCAUCUCCAUCUCCAUCCCCAUCCGGCGCGAUGAUGCAAGCAAACUGAGGAGGAGUACGUGACGGACACCACCACCAAUCGCGCAGUCUACGGCGCACUGCGGCUGCGCGCGGGCCCCGCCCACN